Molecule: long non-coding RNA, 1037 nt
Filed under: Homo sapiens (human)
Lineage: Eukaryota; Metazoa; Chordata; Mammalia; Primates; Hominidae
Description: HSALNT0094733
Source: RNAcentral
GAGCCGCUCCUUAGCGCCCAGUUGCGCAAAUCAAAUUCUUUCCCGUUCUAUUUACUCCUGAUCAAGAGGGGCUGUCAGUCCAACCCUCCAGCUGUAGGCUCGUGCAUCUGCCAGUCUCUUGGCGCGUGGGGACCGCGUGGAAGUGCCUUCGCGUGUGCGUGCCAGCUGAGAUGAGACGUGGAAGCUGGAGGGGUCCGGCAUCCCAGAGAGGCGUGAGGCUCCCAAACGGCAUCCUUAGAAACAUCUCAAGACUUGCUGGAUGUUUGAAGGUCUCUCUGGAUUCCUAGCAGGUGGUCUGAUGCUCGAAGGUUUCCCACAGCUGGAUGGGAGGGAAUUCAGGGACGGAGUCUUGCUCUGUUGCCCAGGCUGGAGUGCAGUGACGUGAUCUCGGCUCACUGAAGCAUACAUUUUGAGAGUACCGUAACAGGGUUGGAGGCUGAUGGCCUAGCCCAUUGCCCCAUGCCUAGUCUCAUAGAACCUGGGUGGGACAGUGAGCUCUGGUCUCUUCCAGCAUGCCAGGGAGAAGUGGAGACCCUUGGACUGGAAGUGCUGGCCCCUCCUCACUCAGCCCCUUUCCAAGUACCUCAUUGCCAAGCACAGUGUGGGGAACUGAGGAUUCGGGGAAAAUAGCACAUGGGUGCACCUCUGCCUUCCAAGCACCUAUUGGCUCCAAUUCUCUUGCUUUUGUGAGAUUCUUCACACACAGCCACUUGCGUCUUGAAGGUUGACCCACUGGAGGUGUAGCAGGCUGGAAUGACCACCUGCUCAGGUCCACCCUAAUAACAUCAGCCAAGGCCUCUACAGCAGCCCCCAAGCUGCCUCUGGAUAGUUCAGACAAGGCCUCUGUGCUGUGAUGGAACCAGGUGACCCGCAGCCUCCGGGCCAGGGAGAGAAGACAGAUUUCCCUCAUGCAGGAAGACGUCUGACUCUGUGGCAAGCAGCUCUAUGUUGCAAUCUCCCUGUGAAAUCGCCUCAUAAGAAGAGUUAAAAGGAGGAACUAAAGGAGGCUGUGGAGAGAGACAUGUGCCCUAUAACAU